This 174-nucleotide long non-coding RNA is filed under the name Ursus maritimus (polar bear). RNAcentral's name for it is "lncRNA (ENSUMAG00000022266.1)". Lineage: Eukaryota; Metazoa; Chordata; Mammalia; Carnivora; Ursidae. The record is from RNAcentral.
AAGGUCCAUGUUGUGAUCCUCUUUAAAGAAAUAUUCUAUUUUCAAUACAGACACAGCCCUUGACGUAGCAGUAAAAAACACCACCCCUGAGAGACACGUGGCUGUGAAGUAUGUUGAACUACAGCGAGAGGGAAGCAUCGAGACUCUGAGUAACAGCUCCGGUUCUACCAGCGG